RNAcentral lists this ribosomal RNA (833 nucleotides) under Pithecopus aff. hypochondrialis DPB-2013. Its description in RNAcentral is "Phyllomedusa aff. hypochondrialis DPB-2013 partial 16S ribosomal RNA". It matches the Rfam family "Bacterial large subunit ribosomal RNA", at positions 772 to 2138 of the family's 2925-position model. Lineage: Eukaryota; Metazoa; Chordata; Amphibia; Anura; Hylidae. The record is from RNAcentral.
GAACUAACCCAUCUCUGUAGCAAAAGAGUGGGAAGACCUUCAAGUAGAGGUGACAGACCUAACGAGCUUAGUGAUAGCUGGUUACUUAAGAAAAGGAUCUUAGUCCAACCCAACUUUUACAAAAUACACCUAAAUAAAAACUAAAAUUUGGAGUAAUUCAAAUAAGGUACAGCCUAUUUGAAUCAGGAUACAACCUUUAUAAAAUGGGUAAUUAAACUUUUAUGUAAUAAAGUAGGCCUAAGAGCAGCCAUCUUCAAAAAGCGUCAAAGCUUAUUCACAAAUCAACUUAAUCCCCCUAAUUUUUAAAAACCCUUAAUCUCUAUUAAGUAACUCUAUAAAAUUAUAGAACCUAUUAUGUUAAAACUAGUAACAAGAAUAAGAACUUCUCUUUAAUGCAAGUGUAAAUCAGGCUGGACAAACCACUGAUUCUUAACACUUUGAAGCCAGAGUAACAACCUACCAAGAAAAUCUUACUUCACUUAAUGUUAACCUGACACAAGAGCAUUCUCAGACAGAUUGAAAGGAAUAGAAGGAACUCGGCAAAUAUUAACCUCGCCUGUUUACCAAAAACAUCGCCUCUUGAUAAUAUAUAAGAGGUCCAGCCUGCCCAGUGACUCUGUUCAACGGCCGCGGUAUCCUAACCGUGCGAAGGUAGCGUAAUCACUUGUUCUUUAAAUGAGGACUAGUAUGAAUGGCAUUACGAGGGUUAUACUGUCUCCUUUUCCUAAUCAGUGAAACUAAUCUCCCCGUGAAGAAGCGAGGAUGAACAUAUAAGACGAGAAGACCCUAUGGAGCUUUAAACUUCCAGCAAUUAUCUUUUUUAUACCAACCUC